This is a long non-coding RNA of Cyprinus carpio (common carp), 1050 nucleotides long. The record is from Ensembl. Lineage: Eukaryota; Metazoa; Chordata; Actinopteri; Cypriniformes; Cyprinidae.
AUGAACCCAGCAGUUGUUCGUCUCCUGCGUCUCCACCAAGGAAACCGGGCCAUUGAGGACUAUGUGGAGGACUUUUGUGGUUUGUGUCAUCUGGUGGAUUUUAAUGAUGUGGCCCUUAAUAACAUAUUUCGGGUGGGUCUUAAUGAGCCCACUUGCUCUCAGCUUCCUGGGGGAAAAAUUCACUGGUCCCUGGAGGAAUAUAUUGACCAUGCUCUUUUUCUUGCUGGUUCAUCAUUUACUGUGGGGAUUGCUGAUGAAGAACACAGCUAUCCCACAGUACCCACCACAUCAGAACUUUUCCACGUCCCAACCAUCAUGUCAGGAGUUGUUCAUGUCACGCCAGCCAAGCCAAGGCCUACUCACACCAUGUCUGCCAAGCCACAGCCUGAGACUGUUCCCGUGGCCUCAGUACUUCUAAUAAUGGCAGUUGCCAUUUUGAGUGUGUGGGCAACUCACUGCAUUCCAGAGACUUUUCCUGUCCACGAGCUCUCUGCCUGUCCUGUCACGGCCAAGGAGGCUGUCCACGAGCUCUCUGCCUGUCCUGUCACGACCAGGGAGGCCAUCCACGAGCUCUCUGCCUGUCCUGCCUCGGCCACGGAGGCCAAUCAUGAACUCACUGCCUGUCCUGUCACAGCCAAGUGGUCUGUCUAUGUCUCUGCUUCAUCAUGGCUUCCAGCUCUGCCUGCACUGCCUGGCCACCCUGCUGGGCCUGCACCGCCAUGGCUCCCCGCUAGGACUGCUCCGCCAUGGCGCCAUUUUCUGUCACUGCUCCACGGCCCAGGUCCACCUCUGCUCCAUGGUCUGUCACUGCUUCAUGGCCCAGGUCCCCCUCUGCUUCAUGGUCUGUCUCUGCUCCACGGCCCAGUUCCCCCUCUGUUUCAUGGUCUGUCACUGCUCCAGGGCCCAGGUCCCCCUCUGCUCCAUGGUCUGUCAGGGCUCAAAACUGCAACUAAAACAGUCGCAUUUGCGACCAUAAAUAUUAAUUUGCGAGUGACGUUUUUGCUGAGGUCGCCACUGGCGACUACCCGCCGAAAGCUCCUCAGGAUUUAA